This 468-nucleotide ribosomal RNA is filed under the name uncultured bacterium. Its description in RNAcentral is "partial 16S ribosomal RNA". It matches the Rfam family "Bacterial small subunit ribosomal RNA", at positions 28 to 507 of the family's 1533-position model. The record is from RNAcentral.
GACGAACGCUGGCGGCGUGCUUAACACAUGCAAGUCGAACGGAAGGGCCCUGCUUUUGUGGGGUGCUCGAGUGGCGAACGGGUGAGUAACACGUGAGUAACCUGCCCUUGACUUUGGGAUAACUUCAGGAAACUGGGGCUAAUACCGGAUAGGAGCUCCUGCUGCAUGGUGGGGGUUGGAAAGUUUCGGCGGUUGGGGAUGGACUCGCGGCUUAUCAGCUUGUUGGUGGGGGAGUGGCUUACCAAGGCUUUGACAGGUAGCCGGCCUGAGAGGGUGAACGGCCACAUGGGGACUGAGAGACGGCCCAGACUCCUACGGGAGGCAGCAGUGGGGAAUAUUGCACAAUGGGCGGAAGCGUGAUGCAGCAACGCCGCGUGCGGGAUGACGGCCUUCGGGUUGUAAACCGCGUUCGCCUGUGACGAAGCGUGAGUGACGGUAAUGGGUAAAGAAGCACCGGCUAACUACGUG